This 2312-nucleotide ribosomal RNA is filed under the name Halorubrum sodomense. RNAcentral describes it as "bacterial LSU rRNA". It matches the Rfam family "Archaeal large subunit ribosomal RNA", at positions 623 to 2975 of the family's 2987-position model. Lineage: Archaea; Methanobacteriati; Methanobacteriota; Halobacteria; Halobacteriales; Haloferacaceae. The record is from RNAcentral.
AGAGACGAGCCGGCGUCGUGUCGUGCGUUUUGAAAAACGACCCAGGGAGUGCACUUGAUUGGCGAGUCUAACCCGUGAACCGGGGAAGGCGCAGGGAAACCGAUACGGCCGCAGCACAUUCGUGCGAGGGCCACCGUGUUCAAGCGCGGGGAGUCAAUCGGGUGCGACCCGAAACCAGGCGAUCUACGCGCGAGCAAGGUGAAGCGUGGCGAAAGCCACGUGGAGGCCUGUUAGAGUUGGUGUUCUACAAUACCCUCUCGUGACUCGUGUGUAGGGGUGAAAGGCCCAUCGAGCCUGGCAACAGCUGGUUCCAACCGAAACAUGUCGAAGCAUGACCUCUCCCGAGAUAGCCCGCGGGGUAGAGCUACCGAUUGGAUGACCCGCCUCCGAGAGGAGUCGGCCAUCCUGUCGAACUCCAAACCCGCAGGCGUCGCAGACGGAGGGAGUCCGGUGCGCGGGGUAAGCCUGUGUACCGUGAGGGGAACAACCCAGAGCCGGGUUAAGGUCCCAAAGUGUAGAUUAAGUGCGAUUCGAAGGUGGUCUCAAGCCCUAAACAGCCGGGAGGUGAGCUUAGAAGCAGCUACCCGCUAAGAAAAGCGUAACAGCUUACCGGCCGAGGUUUGAGGCGCCCAAAAUGAUCGGGGCUCAAAUCUACCACCGAGACCUGGCCGUGCCCGUGACAGGGCAACCGCGUAGGUUGGCGUACUGGUCGGACGGAAGCCCGGGCGAGAGCUCGUGUGGACCGUCCAGUAACGACAAUCCUGGUCACAGUAGCAGCGAUAGUCGGGUGAGAACCUCGACGGCCUGAAGAGCAAGGGUUCCUCGGCACUGCAGAUCAGCCGAGGGUUAGCCGGUCCUAAGGUGUACCACAACUUGACUACACCGACGGGAAGCUGGUUAAUAUUCCAGCGCCAUCGUGCAGUAAACGCCGACGCCGUGUGGAACGCUGAGCCGGGCACUCGCCCGGUCGAAUCGUGGAAACUCGUGGACGCCGUCACGGCACGAAGCGAGCGAAACGCGAGACAGCGAAAGUCAGCCGUACAUAGGGCCCGUGAAAAGGCAAGCGCGAUGUCCGUACCGAGAUCCGACACAGGUGCUCUGCCAGCGCAAGGCAAGGCCUGUCGGGAGAACCGACGUUAGGGAAUUCGGCAAGUUAGUCCCGUACCUUCGGAAGAAGGGAUGCCUGCUCUCUGAGGAGCAGGUCGCAGUGACUCGGGCGCUCCGACUGUCUAGUAACAACACAGGUGACCGCAAAUCCGCAAGGACUCGUACGGUCACUGAAUCCUGCCCAGUGCGGGUAUCUGAACACCUCGUACAAGAGGACGAAGGACCCGUCAACGGCGGGGGUAACUAUGACCCUCUUAAGGUAGCGUAGUACCUUGCCGCUUCAGUAGCGGCUUGCAUGAAUGGAUAAACGAGAGCGCCACUGUCCCAACGUUGGACCCGGUGAACUGUACGUUCCAGUGCGGAGUCUGGAGACCCCCAAGGGGAAGCGAAGACCCUAUAGAGCUUUACUGCAGGCUGUCGCUGAGACGUGGUCGCCGAUGUGCAGCAUAGGUAGGAGUCGUUACACAGGUACGUGCGCCAGCACGCCACCGAGACAGCAUUGAAAUACUACCCGUCGGUGACUGCGACUCUCACUCCGGGAGGAGUACACCGGUAGCCGGGCAGUUUGACUGGGGCGGUACGCGCUCGAAAAGAUAUCGAGCGCGCCCGAAGAUCAUCUCAGCCGGGUCGGGAAUCCGGCGAAGAGCGCAAGAGCACAAGAUGGUCUGACAGUGUUCUUCCCAACGAGGAACGCUGACGCGAAAGCGUGGUCUAGCGAACCUACGAGGUUCCGGAAUGGGACCCGUAGAUGACAGAAAAGCUACCUUAGGGAUAACAGAGUCGUCACUCGCAAGAGCACAUAUCGACCGAGUGGCUUGCUACCUCGAUGUCGGUUCCCUCCAUCCUGCCCGUGCAGACGCGGGCAAGGGUGAGGUUGUUCGCCUAUUAAAGGAGGUCGUGAGCUGGGUUUAGACCGUCGUGAGACAGGUCGGCUGCUAUCUAUUGGGGGUGUGAGGUACCUGACGUGAACGAACGUAUAGUACGAGAGGAACUACGUUUGGUCGCCACUGGUGUAUCGGUUGUCCGGAAGGGCAGCUGCCGAGUAGCCACGCGACACGGGGUAAGAGCUGAACGCAUCUAAGCUCGAAACCCACAUGGAAAAGAGGUACCACAGAGGUCACUCGUAGAAGACGAGUUCGAUAGACUCGGGGUGUACGCACCGAGGCAACGAGGUGUUAAGCCCACGAGAACUAACAGACCGAGCC